CCCUUAGAUGUCCUGGGCCGCACGCGUGCUACACUGACGCCUACAGCGAGUACUUCCCAGCCCCGAGAGGCGGCUGGUAAUCAGCAAUAGGCGUCGUGAUGGGGAUAGAUCUUUGGAAUUCUGGAUCUUGAACGAGGAAUGCCUAGUAAGCGCAGGUCAUUAGCCUGCGCUGAUUACGUCCCUGCCCUUUGUACACACCGCCCGUCGCUCCUACCGAUUUCGAGUGGUCCGGUGAAUCUUUCGGACUGCGCGCAGCUUCGUGCCGUGUCGCGGAAAGUCAGGUAAAUCUAAUCACUUAGAGGAAGGACAANUCGUANCA
RNAcentral lists this ribosomal RNA (319 nucleotides) under uncultured eukaryote. RNAcentral's name for it is "partial 18S ribosomal RNA". It matches the Rfam family "Eukaryotic small subunit ribosomal RNA", at positions 1470 to 1796 of the family's 1831-position model. The record is from RNAcentral.